This is a long non-coding RNA of Struthio camelus australis, 1005 nucleotides long. NCBI's taxonomy places the organism in Eukaryota, Metazoa, Chordata, Aves, Struthioniformes, Struthionidae. The record is from Ensembl.
CUAGCUACUGUCAGCAAUGGCUAACCUUCGUUUUUAUCCCAUGCCUUUUUGCAGCCUUGGGAUUUCUUAUAACUAUAUUGUGAAUCUGGACAAAACAAGGCGGGAAAGGGGCGGCAGAGGCUCAUUGAAGACCCAAAUAAAUGCCUCUUUGUUCAGUGAUGACUGAAACAAUGAAAAAAUACCACCCAGGAGCUAGACCACAUGCAGAUGUGAACCACAGCUUCGCCAGAUGGUUUCAAAACCAAACUAAGAUGGUCAGAUGGUUUGCUGUACUUUGCAGAAUGCAACAUAUCUUCCUGACAACUACUUAAGUUGAACUGCUUAAAUUCAUGGAGCUCUGAACUGCAAGGAUUGGUGAAGAAGAGGUAUUUAACACUUCUUUACUUCUGACUCUCCUUUUUUUCCCACUGUACCUUCAAAAGGUGUGAAUUUUGUAGAUGUAACUGAUGCCUCUUAGCCCUUUAUCUUGAUCUUCCUUUUAGCUAGUUUGAGGAUAAUGUCACUGUGCAAGGCAGCCACACCAGUUUUGAGGAUCUUAACCAUGCUGGUGAUUCAAAGAAAAGAUUACUGCAACUCAUAAGCCUCUCAUUGCUAUUAAAAGUUGUUGGAUGACUUCGGAUGUCAUCUUUAGAGGAUUUGCUCCUCUUUAACUCAACAAAUCUUAAGAAAAACAUGUGCCAAAUCACAAUGCAUGUUUAUUUCCUAUUUGUUCAGUAAUAACGUAGGUCAUGUUCUGAAUUCAGACGUACUAUAUUCUUACAUACCUAUCUCAUUAAAAAUUGCUGGUAAGCAUACUUAUAUGUAUUAGUCCCGUAGAAGACUUUGUCACGUUACCUUGUAUUGCAUAAGAAGAAUGAGAAUCCAGCCACAUGCUGUUCGACAUUCAGCAUCAGUUGAUAGUGACCAUGCGUUCACAAUUCUUUUCAGUAAAAUAACAUAUAUAGCUCUAACACAUAGCUCUGAGCACUGGGCUCAUUGAUGAGAAUAAAAAUACAAAGUUAAACA